AAUGUGAUGGAAAAAAAUGCUUAAGAUUAUGAAAGAACCAGGCAAGAAUUGCAAGAAUGAAUCGUGGCAAGCUUUUAUUGACUAUUGCAUCCAUGAUUUCCGCUACCCACGUACUGAACAAUGGCUUUAUGAAAAGUUGACACGUACCUAUUCUUGCAUUUCAUUGGAAAUUCUAUCGUAACAUUUAGCAUAGCUCUAAUGUGAUUGACUGCAGGAUCUUGAUUUUCUUCUUUAUAUAGAGGUGGGUGUUUGCAGAGCCGUUGUAAGGCACACGUGUGCCCGACGGUUACAAAAUCAUGGGAAGUGUAAACGUCGGGGAGAGAAAAGAGACGUUACAAGUUCGUUUGAACUGGUCUUUGUUACAUUAGAGACUGGGAGAAUGUUUAUGCUUGAUCCAGAAUUGAGAUCUUUGCAAAUUUUGAUUGGGCACACCGGUUGUCCUAACAUGGAAUUUCCUUGUAUGUGUUUUGUAAUAUUUUUCAGGGAGGGAGGAUUGACAAUGCUUGGGUAUUAAUGUGAUGGAAAAAAAUGCUUAAGAUUAUGAAAGAACCAGGCAAGAAUUGCAAGAAUGAAUCGUGGCAAGCUUUUAUUGACUAUUGCAUCCAUGAUUUCCGCUACCCACGUACUGAACAAUGGCUUUAUGAAAAGUUGACACGUACCUAUUCUUGCAUUUCAUUGGAAAUUCUAUCGUAACAUUUAGCAUAGCUCUAAUGUGAUUGACUGCAGGAUCUUGAUUUUCUUCUUUAUAUAGAGGUGGGUGUUUGCAGAGCCGUUGUAAGGCACACGUGUGCCCGACGGUUAC
This 802-nucleotide long non-coding RNA is filed under the name Medicago truncatula (barrel medic). Its description in RNAcentral is "long non-coding RNA (MTRU_LNC006436)". The record is from RNAcentral. Lineage: Eukaryota; Viridiplantae; Streptophyta; Magnoliopsida; Fabales; Fabaceae.